GUUUUUUUUAUAUACCUGAGAAUCCUCUUAUACCUACAUUAAUAACCAGCUCACAGGCAUAACAGUCUUCUAGUAUAGAUUAUAUUUUGGGGCAAGUCUGAUCUGCCUAGGAGCAUAUUAGGUAUAACAUCAUAUCCAGUACGCUUGCUCACACACACACACACACUAUAUAUAUAUAUAUAUAUAUCCGGGAAUACUUUAUUAGGAACACCUGAUCAUUCAAUCAUUCAUGCAAGUAUACAAUCAGUCCAUUACGUGGCAGCAGUGCAAUGUAUAGAAUCAUGUAGAUACAGAUAAAGACCUUCAGUUAAUUUUCACGUAAUUGUUGGUGCCAGAUAUUUCACAAGCUGCGGAUCUCCUGGGAUUUUCAUGCACAGUAGUCUACAGAGCAUCCAGUUCCACUGAGUGGGUGGAAAUGCCUUGUUGAUAAAGAGGUAAAAGGAGAACGGCCAGACUCGUCCGAGCUGACAGGAAGGCUUUUUUUGAUUUGUUAAUUCAAAUAAAAACUCUUUACAACGAUGGUGAGCAGAGAGAAAUGAAAAGCAUUUCAGAACACAUAAUACACAGAACCUUGAGGUGGAUGGGCUACAACAGCAGAAGACCACAUCGGGUUCCACUCCAGUCAGCUAAGAACCAGAAUCUGAAGGUACACUGGCACACACAGAACCUUUAAAGACUGAAAGGAAAAUACAUUGGUUGGUCUUUUCCAGUUUUUUCUCCCACAACACUACAGACAGUUUUCUGUGAAAAUUCCAUGAGUUCAGCAGCUUCUGAAAUACUCAGACCAGACCAUCUGGAACUAACAACCAUGCCACAGUCACUGAGAUCGCAUAUUUUCCACAUUCUGUAUCUGCAUGAGUUAUACAUUGUGCUACUGCCACAUGAUUGUCUGGCUGAAUAAUUGCAUGAAUGAACAGGUCUAGAUGUUCCUGAUAAAGUGGCCAGUGAGUGUAUUUAAGUAUAUAAGUGAAGACUGGGAAGUAUCAAAGUGUCAGUACACUCAUUGGGCCCUCAUUUAUCUUUUUUGUGUGUGUGUGUGAUGCCCACAAAUCCCAUAAAAGAUAAAGCUCACAGACAGCUAAAAACUAUUUCUCAGAAGCAGAAGGGGUAAUUAUUUUGACUAAUGUAUACACCAAUAAAAAUAUUAUUUAGCAGCACAGCAGCAUGUGAAAAGGUUCAGAUCUGAAGACAAAUUACAGAAAAGGUCAGUUAGG
This is a long non-coding RNA of Ictalurus punctatus (channel catfish), 1214 nucleotides long. NCBI's taxonomy places the organism in Eukaryota, Metazoa, Chordata, Actinopteri, Siluriformes, Ictaluridae. The record is from Ensembl.